AAACCAACAGGGAUUGCCUUAGUAGCGGCGAGUGAAGCGGCAAAAGCUCAAAUUUGAAAUCUGGCACCUUCGGUGUCCGAGUUGUAAUUUGAAGAUUGUAACCUUGGGGUUGGCUCUUGUCUAUGUUUCUUGGAACAGGACGUCACAGAGGGUGAGAAUCCCGUGCGAUGAGAUGCCCAAUCCUAUGUAAGGUGCUUUCGAAGAGUCGAGUUGUUUGGGAAUGCAGCUCUAAGUGGGUGGUAAAUUCCAUCUAAAGCUAAAUAUUGGCGAGAGACCGAUAGCGAACAAGUACAGUGAUGGAAAGAUGAAAAGAACUUUGAAAAGAGAGUGAAAAAGUACGUGAAAUUGUUGAAAGGGAAGGGUUUGAGAUCAGACUCGAUAUUUUGUGAGCCUUGCCUUCGUGGCGGGGUGACCCGCAGCUUAUCGGGCCAGCAUCGGUUUGGGCGGUAGGAUAAUGGCGUAGGAAUGUGACUUUGCUUCGGUGAAGUGUUAUAGCCUGCGUUGAUGCUGCCUGCCUAGACCGAGGACUGCGAUUUUAUCAAGGAUGCUGGCAUAAUGAUCCCAAACCGCCCGUCUU
RNAcentral lists this ribosomal RNA (577 nucleotides) under Meyerozyma guilliermondii. Its description in RNAcentral is "eukaryotic LSU rRNA". It matches the Rfam family "Eukaryotic large subunit ribosomal RNA", at positions 62 to 655 of the family's 3401-position model. The record is from RNAcentral. Lineage: Eukaryota; Fungi; Ascomycota; Pichiomycetes; Serinales; Debaryomycetaceae. RNAcentral also lists the same sequence under 1 other name.